GGCAUCAUUUUCUCUCUCUCUUCUAUCCUAAUUUGGCUCCUUUGACCUGAGAAAAGACAAAAAAAAAAGAUGGAGAAAAAAAUUCCGAACAAUAAUGAUAGGAGAAAACUAUAUAAUAUGUUCACCUUGGUUGGGUCAAGUGGGAGGAAGAGAAAAGCGAAAAACCAUCAAGGGAAACCAAGUUUACAGGUUAACUAGUAAAUAGCCGUUGGUGGUCAAUGUCCUGAGGAUAAAUAAUAAACACUUUCACAUGAUUAAGUUAUUAAGAAGAAUUAGUUAAUUCACCUGAUUACACUUGAGAAAAAAACAUCAACUAAUCAAUUGAAUUUAAGUGACAAGAAAAGAGAAAACAAUUGACCGCCAAUCAGAACAAAGAAACGAAAAGCAUAAUCAGCUGAUCUCCAAAGCAUAAUUUUCUCAUUAAUUUUUUUUUCUCUUUUCAUUGUUUCCUUAAUUAAUUAAAUUCUUUCAAACAAUUUAAUUUAUUUCUUUUAAUUCCUGAUUAUUUUAAUUUUCUAAUUAUUACAAAGACAAUCUGUGUGUUCACUUAUAACAAGUAAGUAAAAAUCGUCAAGUUGACUAAUCAUUUUUCUUGUUCACUUUUCUCACAACAGAAAAAAAAAUAAUCAUCUUGGUUUGAUAUUAAAUUUAAAAUGAAGAACAUUUAAAAUCGUAAUGUAAAUCAUUUAUAUUCUAUGCUGUUAAUUGUGUAAUCGUUUGUGGAUGUAUAUUAAACACACUGGAGAUACAUGGAGACGAUAAUUGAAGCAACGUUAUGAUCCCCACACUUGAUGAUAUGAGGAGUAAAUUUCAACAUCGUGACUACAAUUUUUUUGUUUCCAAAUUCACAAAAACCUCUAACCUCUCAUCUCUCCCAAUCUUCCAGUCCAAAGUGAAACAGGCCAAAGACGAUGGAUAGAUGAUGAUGAUGAUGAUGAUGAUGAUGUUAUGGAUGGUACAAUCGAAGAAGAUAAAGAAGCCGGGGCGGUGUAAAAGACCACCGGUUUAAUAGGCAGGGUGGAACACGAUUCACCUUGACUUGUGAAUUUACAACAUUGAGGUUACAAUGGUUAAAGUGAAUACCAAAUAAUAACAAUAACUAAUGGAUCCAAAGACAAGCGUUUAAUUUGGUAACAAAAAGGCUAAAACCAUCAAACGAAUAACUUUUGACAUCUUACUCCAAAAGAUUAUCAUCAUCACAGUAAUAAUCAUUAUCAUCUUAAUCUCACCAUCACCAUCAUCAUAAUCAUAAUCUUUCAAUUCUCUAGCAAGAAAAUUAUUACAUCAUUUUCCCUUUUUCUCUUCACUAUCAAUUUUGUUUCUUUUUCUCUCCUCAAUAAUCAACCAUCAUCCUCAUCAUUUAUUACUCAAUUUUCUAGGUUAUUUUAAAUCGAAUACCUGAUUCCUCUUGAACCUCAUCUUCUCUCUCUCUAUCAUCAUCUUUAUCUUCAUCUUAAUCUUUAGACCGUUAAGGCUGGGUCUUUGACGCAACUUACCUGGUGGUCUUGAUAAAUUACAGUCUGGUUACAAAAUUUAUCCUCCUUAUCUUCAUCUUCUUCCUUUGGUCAGUCAACCUCAUCUUCACUCAUCAUCUUCAUCUUUUUUUACAACUUGAAGCAUUUUUUUCCUUCAUCAUCAUCAUCAUCUUCUUAUGUAUUUGUUUAUUUCUCUAUUUAUCUUUUAUUUACCUUUUGUUGUCGGCGAUGGUGAUGGUGGUGAGAUAAUUACAAUCAUAUUAAUAUAUUCUUAGCAUUUUCCUUUGGUUGAUGAUCACAACAUAUCAAGAGAGAGACAUGAUAAAUUGAGGCGAAAAUAAUUUCCAACUGAAAUGAUUGAUGUAAAUUGUAUUUAAAUUGUUAUAUUCUGAUGAUCAUUUUUCACUCGUAUUUAGUUAAUCAUCAUUUCUACCUUUUAAAUUAGCAGCAGAAAAAAGGUAAACAUACUAAUCAUUGAGGAUAAAUUAAUUAUCUAAUCAAAAAGUAUCAGCAUGAGACACAAUCAACUUUACUUAACAAGUUGUAAUACCAAUAGGACAACAACAAUCAACUGAUUCUCAAUGGAUGGAUGAUCGGAAAUGACCAAACUCUAAACAAUAACAAUCAACUAAUUUAAUGUCAAUCACUCAAGUUGAUUACAUGUUAUCACCACAAUUAUAUCAGUCACAGAUCUUUGGUUCAUAAAUUGGAUGAAACCAAAAUUAAUCAGAAUCAAGGGAAACCAAAUUAAACUUAACUAUUUGGAGGAUAAACAAUCAACAUUUGAUUUUAAUGGUGGAAAAUCAAAGUUAACAAUUGAAGCGAGUCAACAAUUUGAUCAAGGGUCUGAUGAACCUGAUUUACUGAUUGUUGUUAUUAUCAAAAAGAAACACAAUUUGUAAAAACUAAUCAUCAGGAAGCUUUAAAUCAUAACUAACAAUCUAAGUGUAUCUUGAUUGUUAUUCUUGAACAAGUAACAAUUAACUUUCACAUUAACAUCAUUGAUUUAUUGAUGAUAAUGUGAAACACCAAAAACAAAAAAUCAACAUCAUUUAACUGUUAAUUGUUUACAAUUGACAAAUUAACUUGGUUAAUAGUCAUCCAACACUAAUGAACAUUUAAUUUGCCUCCUUUUUUAUUAUUAUAUUGCUUAAUUGUUUAUAUUUAUAUCGAUGAUUGUUUUCAUGUUUAUCAUCAUUUCUUAAUUGUUAACCAUUUAUUUUGACCUUAAAAAAUUGAUUGAAAACAAUUAGAUGAAAGGAUUUACUUUGAUCAAACAAAAAUGAAUCAAUAUCGAUCUCGGAUCAUUUACCAAUCAAUUGAUUAUCCUGAUUGUUAACACAAUAUUAUCACAAUCAGGUCAAUCAAAGUGUAACAAUCAAUUUCAAGGUUAAUUGUGAAAAGUGAAUCAAUUGAUUUCUUGAACAAACAACCAAAACAACAACAACAGAAAGAUCAACAAUCAAAGUAACAAUUAAAAUGAAAACUUUCACCAUAAAAUAGAUCCAAUUGUUGAACAAUUUAAAUCAUCCGAUUUGAUUUGUUUAAUGAUUAACUAGGUUAGUAAUUGUGAUGAAGAUGAUAAUGUUAAUGAUGUUGAUUAAGAUAAUCAUCUUUAAUUGUAUUAUUUAAUGAAUAGGAAUGAAUAAUGAUAAAGAUAAUCAUGAUUAAGAUGAUUAAGAAAACUUUCUAACGGAAAUUGAUUGUUACAAUGUCGGCAAAUGUUACAAUUAACUUAAUCAUGAUUUAACUUUCAUCUUUAUUAAGAUUGUUAAUGUUGUUUAAUCAUUGGAAUAACAAUCAAAUUGUUGCAAAAAAAAAGAUGAUCAAGUUAAUUGUGCUUAUGGUUUGAAAGUUGAUUGUGAUCAAUGGUUAAUCUAAAUUAACUGAAAUAAUCUCACGUUAUUUGUUGAUUGUUGGAUAUGAUAGUUGAUUCAUUUACGAUUUGCCAAUUGAUUGUAAUCAAUUUUUAAUCACAAUUAAAA
Long non-coding RNA from Panonychus citri (citrus red mite), 3460 nucleotides. RefSeq lists it as uncharacterized. The transcript has 4 exons. The record is from RefSeq and is a predicted model, not a curated record. NCBI's taxonomy places the organism in Eukaryota, Metazoa, Arthropoda, Arachnida, Trombidiformes, Tetranychidae.